Molecule: ribosomal RNA, 253 nt
Filed under: uncultured bacterium
Lineage: Bacteria
Description: partial 16S ribosomal RNA
Rfam family: Bacterial small subunit ribosomal RNA
Source: RNAcentral
UACGUAGGGUGCGAGCGUUGUCCGGAAUUAUUGGGCGUAAAGGGCUCGUAGGCGGUUUGUCACGUCGGGAGUGAAAACUCAGGGCUUAACCCUGAGCCUGCUUUCGAUACGGGCAGACUAGAGGUAUGCAGGGGAGAACGGAAUUCCUGGUGUAGCGGUGAAAUGCGCAGAUAUCAGGAGGAACACCGGUGGCGAAGGCGGUUCUCUGGGCAUUACCUGACGCUGAGGAGCGAAAGUGUGGGGAGCGAACAGG